RNAcentral lists this ribosomal RNA (252 nucleotides) under uncultured bacterium. RNAcentral's name for it is "partial 16S ribosomal RNA". It matches the Rfam family "Bacterial small subunit ribosomal RNA", at positions 524 to 776 of the family's 1533-position model. The record is from RNAcentral.
UACGGAGGAUGCGAGCGUUAUCCGGAUUUAUUGGGUUUAAAGGGUGCGUAGGCGGGCAUUUAAGCCGGCGGUCAAAUGUCGGGGCUCAACCCCGGCCUGCCGUCGGAACUGGGUGCCUUGAGUGGGCGAGAAGUAUGCGGAAUGCGUGGUGUAGCGGUGAAAUGCAUAGAUAUCACGCAGAACCCCGAUUGUGAAGGCAGCAUACCGGCGCCCGACUGACGCUGAGGCACGAAAGUGCGGGUAUCGAACAGG